UCUGACUCUGUUAUGUUACAGACAAGGAGGG
Molecule: non-coding RNA, 31 nt
Filed under: Rattus norvegicus (Norway rat)
Lineage: Eukaryota; Metazoa; Chordata; Mammalia; Rodentia; Muridae
Source: RNAcentral